GGGGUCGCUAUCUUCGAAAUGUUAAGUUACACGUGUAAAGAUUUUUCUUUUGUUGUGAUCGAAAUAUGUCGAAUUGUCCUUUCAAAUGAAAAUACUGGCAUCUUUCAUGGAAUCUCGUAGACAUAGUACGUGGAAUCUCAAAUUUUUGUAUAAAUAUCAGUCAGAACCCAGGAGUUUUUAACAUUGAUUUAAAAAGUUUUCAGCUUUAAACAUCAUAAAAAGUUUCAACUUGAUUUAAAAUGAGUUAUUCUGGUGCUUUAUAUUCCAAUACCUUCAUACUUUAGCUAUAAAAUGUCGAGUACACUCCAAACUUCUGAAGACAUACAAGAAUAUCUUUUUGAUUUUGAAUCAGAUGAUGGAAAUAUGUAUAUACUUACAUCAUCUGAUGGUGAACCAUCAGAUGAUGUGAAGCAGAUGUAGGCCUACCAUGCACAAGGGCAAGCGCUGGACCUUCUAACCUCGCGGGUAUAACUGGAUAGAAGUUGCGGAGUUUUCUGCUCCUCCCUUUCCCCUUCCAGGGGAAUAUAUCUGGAGCAAGAGUAAUUUCUGAACGAAAUUCUGAACUGGAUAUAUUUGAAGUGUUAUUCACUGAAGAAAACAUCUGUAUAAUUACAGAAGAAACGAAUCGUUAUUUUGAACAGGUCAGUGCAAAAAUUUACUAUUUCCUAACAUACGGGAUUCUUGGAAACAAACAACAACUACAGAAAUAAUGUUAUUUUUUGGACUAUGCAUGCUAAUGGGGAGUGUUUCAAAAAAUUCUAUUGGUGACUAUUGGCAUAGUAAUCCGAAAAUUUCAAUGCCGUUUUUCUGAAACUAUGUCCAGAAAUAGAUUUGAGCUUCUGUUUACAAUGCUUCGUUUUGUAAACAUUUGAACACUAAAUCCAGAAAAUCGACUUUCUAAACUUGGAAAUAUAUUCAAAAAUCUAAAACCCUCCUGGAAAACAUAUUUAUUUCCGUACAAAAAUGUAUGCUUUUUCUUUGGAAAGGACGACUUUUGUUCAGACAAUAUAUCCCUUUAAAACGUUUUUAUUUUGGAAUAAAAUUGUAUGCUUUAGCUGAUUGUAAAACAAAAUUUGUUUUGGAGAUCAUAAUAUGCACUGAAAAAACGACAGAAAUUCUGGAUAGAUAUAAAGCUUUCAGACACUCUGGAAGUGUAGUACUUACGCUCCUUGAGUAUAUUAUAGCAGAAACCAUAAAUUGUAUAUAGACAGUUAUUAUACUUCAUCUGAACUUCACUUUUGUUUGAGAAUAGAGGGAAUUGAAUCAUGCGGAACUGUCCAGAAAAACAGGAAGAAUUUCCCAAAUGAUAAAAAAAAUUAGUUUGAGGAGAAGUGACCCAUUUUUCAUACGGACAGCAUGUUAUAUGAACGAUGGGUGGAUAAGAGAGAGGUGAGAAUGUUGUCAAAUUUUCUCCCAAACGAAAUGGAAACUGAGACAUUAACUUCAACAUUAACAAGAAAUACCAUAAAGCCACUAAGAAAAUAUAAUGAAAAUAUGGGGCAGUAAAUAAUCUUGAUGCAGUCCUCAGUUACAAUCAAACUCCCAGAUAAACCAUUAAAUGGUACAAAAAGCUAUUUUUUCAUUUUCUGGAUAUAUGUACAGUACAUAUAAUUCUUUCAUUUUGUAUAAAGAUAAGCAUCUAAAAAAUAUUGACAUUUGUCGAAAUUUAGACACGAACUAAUACAACAAAUUGUAGAAAAAUACAGAGAGGAAGCCCCAGCAACUAUGAAAGUCUGAAUAGACUAAAAAUAGAGAAACAUUUCCUUUCUCUUAUUCUACCCACUGAAAAUAAUAAAAAUCCCUAUAAAAGAUGCCACGUUUGUGGAAACUCAAAAGUUAACCUGAGAAGACUUGUUCAAACCCGGUAUGAGUGUAAAAAAAUGUAAUGUUGCGCUAUGCAUUACUCCUUGUAUUGAGAUAUAUCAUAAGAAAAUUGUGUUUGAGUUGUAUUUUAUUUUUUUAUUUACUUUGUAUUAACAUGAUAUUGUAUAUAUGUUAUUAUCUUUUUUUCUUUUUUGUUUACUUUUUUACAUUAUAAAUGAAUAAAUAAUAAAAGUAUGUCAACAAAGGGUUUUUAAGAUUAUUUUUCAUUUAUGAUUAAGUAAUGCUAACCAAAAGUUAGAAGUAAAGCUAGUUUAUUCACUGGAUAAUUAAUGGCAAGUCUGAAUGCCGUAACCUCAGUCACAUUAUUAAAUAUUAUCCAAUAUGUCGUGGAAAAAAUAUCAGAAGCAAUCAGUAAGAGAAAAGAAACAGUAUAUAAAUUCUCUUCCACGAUAAUAAAUCUUAUAUGAAGUAAAUAUAUACAAUUGAACCUGAGAGUCUCGAUUUAAUGGGAAUGAGAAAAAUUGAAUAUAUAGAUGUUCCAGUACAGUAAACAAUAAUAUACUUGAAUGCAGGUACGGUGUUUCACUGAUGCAAUAGCAAGUACAGUACACACUUGUAUUAGAUGUAAAUGAAACUAUUUGUGGUAUAUUUAAACAGAAGCCGUUUGUCAAUAGUUUGUAAUGCCCGACUUUCUUUAACCAGUAUGACGCAAGCCAAACUGGUAGCCAGAGAAAAACCGCAUUAAUUGUAACAGAUAUAUCUUAUGGUAUCACAACAUGGUCGCUGAUCUUUGAAUUUGUAAUUGACACUUCAGUUCAUAAUUUGAAACAGAGGUACAUAUAAGAAUGUGCAUAUAAACAUUUUAAUAUUUACUUUAUAACAUUUUGUAAACAUAACAUUUUACAAUUGUAAUAUCUGUUAUUGUAUGGAAACACUUAAUA
Molecule: long non-coding RNA, 2765 nt
Organism: Centruroides sculpturatus (bark scorpion)
Lineage: Eukaryota; Metazoa; Arthropoda; Arachnida; Scorpiones; Buthidae
Exons: 4
Source: RefSeq, a predicted model, not a curated record